GCGGGAGCAGUGGCACGUGCCUGUAGUCCCAGCUACUCAAGAGGCUGAGGUGGGAGGAUCUCUCGAGCCCAGGAGUUCUGGGCUGUAGUGCACUAUGCGAUCGGGUGUCCACACUAAGUUCGACAUCAACAUAGUGACCUCCCGGAAGUGGGGGACCACCAGGUUGUCUAAGGAGGGGUGAACCGGCCCAGGUCGGAAAUGCAGCAGGUCAAAACUCCCGUGGUGAUCAGCAGUGGGAUCGCACCUGUGAAUAGUCACUGCACUCCUGCCUGGGCAACAUAGGGAGACCCCGUCUCU
This 297-nucleotide signal recognition particle RNA is filed under the name Saimiri boliviensis boliviensis (Bolivian squirrel monkey). RNAcentral's name for it is "Metazoan signal recognition particle RNA (ENSSBOG00000005145.1)". It matches the Rfam family "Metazoan signal recognition particle RNA". From Rfam's summary of the family: The signal recognition particle (SRP) is a universally conserved ribonucleoprotein. It is involved in the co-translational targeting of proteins to membranes. Lineage: Eukaryota; Metazoa; Chordata; Mammalia; Primates; Cebidae. The record is from RNAcentral.